This 465-nucleotide ribosomal RNA is filed under the name Vreelandella stevensii. RNAcentral describes it as "partial 16S ribosomal RNA". It matches the Rfam family "Bacterial small subunit ribosomal RNA", at positions 338 to 795 of the family's 1533-position model. The record is from RNAcentral. Lineage: Bacteria; Pseudomonadati; Pseudomonadota; Gammaproteobacteria; Oceanospirillales; Halomonadaceae.
CCUACGGGAGGCUGCAGUGGGGAAUAUUGGACAAUGGGCGAAAGCCUGAUCCAGCCAUGCCGCGUGUGUGAAGAAGGCCUUCGGGUUGUAAAGCACUUUCAGUGGGGAAGAAAGCCUUGGGGCUAAUACCCUCGAGGAAGGACAUCACCCACAGAAGAAGCACCGGCUAACUCCGUGCCAGCAGCCGCGGUAAUACGGAGGGUGCGAGCGUUAAUCGGAAUUACUGGGCGUAAAGCGCGCGUAGGCGGUCUGAUAAGCCGGUUGUGAAAGCCCCGGGCUCAACCUGGGAACGGCAUCCGGAACUGUCAGGCUAGAGUGCAGGAGAGGAAGGUAGAAUUCCCGGUGUAGCGGUGAAAUGCGUAGAGAUCGGGAGGAAUACCAGCGGCGAAGGCGGCCUUCUGGACUGACACUGACGCUGAGGUGCGAAAGCGUGGGUAGCAAACAGGAUUAGAUACCCCGGUAGUC